CCUCCAAGAUCUUCCUUUAAAAUGGUCCUCAACAACAACCGCCAUUGACAAAAUGGGCAUUAGCAGGAUACGCCAUUUUCGAAUUUCAUAUGGUGGUUUUAAUGUGAUUCGAGGUCAGCUAUAUCGUUGCCAAGCCGCUAUUGUUUUGUUCUAUCUUGUUAGACACUGAGCAACAUCAACAAUAUUUAACUCGUAAUCCCAAUGCAAGAGGUUGGCGAUAUAAACUCUCAACAAAUCAACAUGCUCCUUCAAUCUAAUUAAAUGCAGAAGCAUGAAAAUUUUACACGACUAUAGCAUGUUUUGUUGUGGAUUUCAUUUUCCAUAUGUGCUGGUUUGUUUCAAAAGUUAUUUACUUGGGUAACUAAAGAAUUGGUGGUUGCUUUAUGAGUUUUUCUUAGGGAUGCAAAUAUUGCUAUAGUAUUGGUAAGUAGUCUGUGGCCAAUGACAAAGAAUGACUUCUUUUAAUUUUAAGCCUUAAGCUGUUUUGCAUACAUGUGAUUAAUUUGGUGCUUUGGUACUAGGACUGCAGUUUUUUUUUAGAUUUACUGUCACACGUGUAAUUCCUGCAUUAUAGUUGAGGCAUGUUGGUGUAAUUACUUGCCCAUAUAUUGUCAAGACUAGUUCAUAUUAUAUACUCAUUGCAGUUUACAUGAAGCAUGGUGACUUGCAUCUAGGUGGCUUGGUAGGUUACCAAUGUUAUAAAGAACCUUAACGCCAUAAAAUUUUCAUAAGAUGAUAUUUUUUUCCCCUUUUUUUGUGGUUUAAGUUUUAUUAUUAACAGAAAUGACUGGUUUUGUAUAUAUAAAGUUUGAAUAUUUUGAAUUUUAUAUUUUAGCAAUACUUUCUAUGCAUUCUUGUUGGUUUGUGUUUAAUACUUGAUUGAGGGAUGGAUUUUACUUGGAGGCUAGGGGCUUUAAUUCAUUGUGUAUGACACUAUGUGUUUCACGAUUGUUUAUGUUUGUGACAAGGAAAUUUGUACAUGAUUAAUUGAUUCUAAUUAAUGUCCACUACAUGCUCAGACCAUAAUAAACUUAUUAUAAUAAUCUGACGAAUAUGUUUUAUGAAGAAUUAAGACUUCUUAAGACAUUUAGUUACUUCUAUCAUGAUGUUUAACAGUGCUAAAGAAGCAAAAGCCUAAUUGAGGAAUAAUUGAGGAAUAAGACAUUUAGUUACUUCUAUUAUAAGUUUAUGGCUUGUUUCAUACCAGUUUAUUGCUUCAUAAGAAGAUGACUUGGAUGGAAUAAUUGAGGAAGGAUAUGAGAGACUUAGGUAUAGAAGUUCAUAUGACAAGAGAUAGGAAUGCAUGAAGAAAGGCAAUUUAUGUGGAUUAUAAGAAGAAGUAGAUUAUUGGUUCAUGUACUAGGCUUGGGCAUUGUGGUUGUUGUAAGCCAAAAAACACUAGUCUUGGAAACUGAGAUUGAUGGGCUGAAAGCUGAAACAAGACUAACUUUAUGAAUGCAAAGAUAUUUUUCUCUUCCGUGCCAAUGCAUCUACCACCCUGGGGAAUUUCAUGCGCUGGUUCUGCUUUUAUACUAAGCUGUUGCCAAUAUAAGUCUGGUAUGACGUUUGGCAUUUCCAAGAGGCCGUUUCACAAUUAAGUUCCAAUGAUAGGAAUUCAGGGUUAGAUCCCUUUAAAUUUUUGAGGGGUUCUUAUUUUCUUUUUUUUUAAUUCUAGUUUAGUCAGGAAGCAGCUGAAUAUAAGACACGCAGGAGGCGAAAUUUAUUAUGAGGCUUUUAAGACUUGCUUAGUAGGGAGUUUUUAGAUUGAGAUCUCAACUGCAUUGAGCCAUAGCUGUAGAUGCGGACCUCGUGGCAGAAGCAUUUUGGAAGCAUCAAAAGGACUCUCUUUUCAGUUGCAAUUAUGAUUUAUGACAACAUAGAUAUGAGCUGUUAAUUUAUAUCCUUGAAAAAUUUAUGGAUUGUUUCUUGCUGUAUAUUUAUGUUGGAUUAUGGAUGAAGCAUAGUGGAAGAUUUAUGACACAAGGUAUCUGAUUUAUUGUUGGCAGAUAUAUUGUAUGCCAUUUUAUAUGCACUUCUUAUCGUCCUCUGCAUUGUGGAGCUCAUCAAAAAUUUUGAAUUUGGUUUAUCUAGUUUAACCGCAGAGGCGCAGAUGUCUUAAGGAGGCAGAAAAUGUUUUAGCUGGUAUUGUUCAAGCUUGAAAGGUUAUCUGAUUACUUUUUGCGACGGCAUGCUACUUCUCCACUUGUAUACAGUGGACAUAUUUAUUUAUUGCCUUUUGAAGUCUUUUCAUAUAUACACACAACUGCUGACACUAUAUGUUCACUAUUUUCAGCUCACUGGAACACAAAUGAGCUCAUUAAUAAUGUAGGAUAGUUAUUAUCUCACCCUGUUUGCUCUUUUGUGCAUCUUUUUACAAAUCCAAAAUAUUAGUUAUCAAGCAUUUAUAUCAAGGUUUUUGUAAUAUCUUACACCGGGACAAUGCCCGAAUAAAAUGACAAUGCCUUGUAAGCAAUAUUCACGCUGGAUGUAAUUUAUAUAACCCUACUAAAUAGGGUUCUGUAACCUACUAGCCUUAAUCUACAUACUCUCAAGCUAUCUAGUCAAUAGUGUGAAAGGGGUCAGAACAAACAAUUAUCUGCCCGACUGAAAAAAGGAAUAUAGGAUUGCAUGAAAGAGUAGCUACGAUGUCAUCAACAUAUAUCAACAUCAGUCUGAACCUUGCUCUUCAUAGGCUUUCCUAUUUGUAAACAACCAAGUGGAGGAGCAAUUGGAGCCAUUAGCUCCCCAAAUGAUUGCCAACAGUAGGGAUCGUACAAGUGAUGUUGUUCUUGCAAUGGCGUUAGUUGUAUGGUAUUUAGUGUUAUGUCUGUGCAUGGUAGCUCAUCACUGCAGGCUAAAUGUACAGGCUUUACAGUGUAUGUGCCUUUUAUAUUCUGAUAUGUGACUCCUGAUACUGCAACAGCUGCUGAUGCAUUCUUGCAUGUGCUCUUAUCACAAUAAUAUUGGUCGAUUACAAUUGGAAGCUGAACUUCACUGACUUGAAUGUUUGAAAAUGUUAUGCCUUGCACAGAUCCUGAGCCGCCCUGCAUAAUGAAACAGUUGGAGGCAUAUAAGUGAAUUUUCCUUGCAUAUGAUCAAUCACAGGAUCAUGAUCUUGUUUUUUAUGUAACCCAGUAAUUUAGGUGAUAUUGCUUCUUUAGCUCCAGCAUUCUAUUUUUUUUCUCAAAUUGUCAAUCUGUCAUCUAUCUGGAGUUUAGUGAGUUAUACAAUUAAAUUGAUUCUUUGCUGUGUUGUCUACUAGUGAAUAGUGAUCACGUUGAUUAUACUGGUUAAUGGUAUAAAAUUUUAACUGUGAUGUAUACCUGCCAUGUCUUUAUCCGGACUCCAGUCAUCGUGCCUUGUAUGUUGACGUCUCUGACAGUGAUGUUUGAGACACAGGCUUUAGAGUCAUACCUUCCCAGACUUCCAAUACUGAUGCCAUGUCCUGGUCCACAGUUUACACUGUGGAUGUAUACAUUUGAGCAUCCUGUUUGUAUGGAUAUGCAGUCAUCACCUGCAUUUAGUAGUUUGUUGUUAGAUACUGCCACCUUGCCAUGUGAAGCAUUUUAUAUUUUUGUGUUUAUGUAAUUCAAAUUGUUGUCUGUGUUAGAGUUUGUUUAAAGCUUUCAUUCCAGCUAUGUUUUUUAGAGAAAUUAAAAUUAAAUUGUAAAUAGACUUAUGGUUAUGGAGAAGGACCAAUACAAGGUUCUGGUAGAUGGCGUCUUUCUUGGUUUCAUAUUGUGGUCCUGUAUUCAUUAUUCAAUGGUAACCUGAUGUUUUUAAUGUGAUGGUUGUGGUUAUAGCCCCAUAAGCCCAGAACAAAAAUUAUCUGGAAGAUGGCUCUUGCUAUGUGACAAUGGAAACUUUAUUGCCAGGUUGGUCAUUUGGAGGCAAGGCUGCUAGAGUGAAUGAGCACAUCUUUUGAAUUUUGGAGGUGGAUUCCAUCAGUAUUAGGACUGUCACCAGAAACUAGAAAGGUGAAGAUUAUUACCGGCAUAGGGGGCUUUUCUAGGAUUGUGUCAUUUAUGAUGAUUUGCAAUUCAUGGUGAUCUUCUAGAUCGUAUGGAGCGUCUGUCCACCAAGCAGAGCCACUUCCAUCAAUUACGCCUCUUCCUUGUAUGGUGAUUCCUACUAGUUUUGUGAAGUCCAUCCACCACAAGAGAUUAGAUUUCCAUGCAGUGGGGCUUGUUGGAGCAAUAAUAGUCCCAUCUAGCUGGAUCGUAUUUUACAAGCCAGUAAGGACCAGAGAAUGUUAUGGGUCCCACCAGAAAUUGAUAUCCUGAUGGAAUUAGCAUCGUUGAUGACUGAACUUUGCAAGCUUCAGUCCAUGUAGCUUCAAAUGCCUGCAUUGCACCAUGGCAUGAAUACAUUUGUUGUAGCGGUUAAAAAUCUCUCCAAUCACAAAUAUGGUGAUAUCUAUCUGGCUGUUUUUAAAUUUUAGUUGAUAAUUGUUGGAGUCUGGACCCAAUUUGCCGUAACGAGAAAAUUUGUCAUUGGUCCCAAACCUAUUAACUUUGUCCCUUUUAUCUGGCCCUUCCGUCCACACUCAAAAUUGUAAUACAACGUUUGUCAGAAUAUCACAAGCAGAGGGAUGUUUUUCGCUGUUUUUGAGGAACACGAGUCUCUUUUACUGUAGACUCAAUGUACGUCUCACUCGACUACCCUUUAUUUCUUGCUUGCUGUGGCCUGUUACCUAAGAAGUUGGUCAGUUAUUUUCCAUAAAGGGUCUACUAGAACAACCUUUUUCCAAUUAUGAUAGCAAAGGAUUUGGUGGUGACAUAGCUUUAGGAGGUGACCCUUUUAAGUAUGGAGCUUUCUGAAUUGGCGGAGGCAAUGGCGGUGUGCCAACUUCUGGACUCGGCGUUGGUAUUGUUGGAGACGCAGGUUUUGGCUUUGGUUUUGG
Molecule: long non-coding RNA, 4903 nt
Organism: Amaranthus tricolor (Joseph's coat)
Lineage: Eukaryota; Viridiplantae; Streptophyta; Magnoliopsida; Caryophyllales; Amaranthaceae
Exons: 6
Source: RefSeq, a predicted model, not a curated record